Molecule: ribosomal RNA, 250 nt
Filed under: uncultured prokaryote
Description: partial 16S ribosomal RNA
Rfam family: Bacterial small subunit ribosomal RNA
Source: RNAcentral
UACGUAGGGGGCAAGCGUUAUCCGGAUUUACUGGGUGUAAAGGGAGCGUAGACGGCACAGCAAGUCUGAUGUGAAAACCCGCGGCUCAACUGCGGGAUUGCAUUGGAAACUGUUGAGCUUGAGUACUGGAGGGGCAGGCGGAAUUCCUGGUGUAGCGGUGGAAUGCGUAGAUAUCAGGAGGAACACCGGUGGCGAAGGCGGCCUGCUGGACAGAAACUGACGUUGAGGCUCGAAAGCGUGGGGAGCAAAC